AGUGACAAAGUUCAACGGCCGCGGUACCCUAACCGUGCGAAGGUAGCAUAAUCACUUGUUCUUUAAAUGAGGACUUGUAUCAACGGCACUACGAGGGCUAUACUGUCUCCUUUUUCUAAUCAGUGAAACUGAUUUCCCCGUGAAGAAGCGGGGAUCAAAAUAUAAGACGAGAAGACCCCAUGGAGCUUUAAACUUACCACACACCUCUGUGGUACCACACCAUUUAACACAAGAGACCUGCGUGCUAGUUUUAGGUUGGGGGGACCACGGAGUAUAAUUAAACCUCCACAACAAAUGGGCUAAUACCCUUAUCCACGAGACACAACUCUAAGAAUUACUAAACUAAUGCUUAUGACCCGAUAUUCGAUCAAUGAACCAAGUUACCCUGGGGAUAACAGCGCAAUCUACUUCAAGAGCCCCUAUCGACAAGUAGGUUUACGACCUCGAUGUUGGAUCAGGGUAUCCCGGUGGUGCAGCCGCUACCGAUGGUUCGUUUGUUCAACGAUUAAAACCCUACGUGA
RNAcentral lists this ribosomal RNA (521 nucleotides) under Rana macrocnemis (Iranian long-legged frog). RNAcentral describes it as "partial 16S ribosomal RNA". It matches the Rfam family "Bacterial large subunit ribosomal RNA", at positions 1908 to 2603 of the family's 2925-position model. Lineage: Eukaryota; Metazoa; Chordata; Amphibia; Anura; Ranidae. The record is from RNAcentral.